This 484-nucleotide ribosomal RNA is filed under the name uncultured bacterium. RNAcentral's name for it is "partial 16S ribosomal RNA". It matches the Rfam family "Bacterial small subunit ribosomal RNA", at positions 30 to 507 of the family's 1533-position model. The record is from RNAcentral.
AUUGAACGCUGGCGGCAGGCCUAACACAUGCAAGUCGAGCGGAUGAAGGGAGCUUGCUCCUGGAUUCAGCGGCGGACGGGUGAGUAAUGCCUAGGAAUCUGCCUGGUAGUGGGGGAUAACGUCCGGAAACGGGCGCUAAUACCGCAUACGUCCUGAGGGAGAAAGUGGGGGAUCUUCGGACCUCACGCCAUCAGAUGAGCCUAGGUCGGAUUAGCUAGUUGGUGGGGUAAAGGCCUACCAAGGCGACGAUCCGUAACUGGUCUGAGAGGAUGAUCAGUCACACUGGAACUGAGACACGGUCCAGACUCCUACGGGAGGCAGCAGUGGGGAAUAUUGGACAAUGGGCGAAGGCCUGAUCCAGCCAUGCCGCGUGUGUGAAGAAGGUCUUCGGAUUGUAAAGCACUUUAAGUUGGGAGGAAGGGCAGUAAGUUAAUACCUUGCUGUUUUGACGUUACCAACAGAAUAAGCACCGGCUAACUUCGUG